CAUAGGAAAGUGGCCCCACUCUCAGCAUGUCCAGGGAUAAACAGUUGGGGUAAUUCAAAUGUUUUAAUUAUGUCUCUCCUUUUUCUUUUCAUAGUCAAUGGAAAGUGGAAAGUAGGCAGGACAACAGGGCAAAGGCGGAGAGGAGGAAGACACUACUGGUGCCUCCAAGGAAGCAUCUUGGAACACAAGUCAGGAAAGAAAAGAUCCAGGUGAUCCUAGAUCAUGGCUUCCAGGAGAAUCUUUCUCUCCUGUGGCCACAGAGUCAGGACCAAGGCAGGUGCAGGGGCUGAAAGAGCUGCUAACCACUGAUGAGGAUUUCCCUCCGUCGGGGUGACUAGAACAUGUCCUAAAAACCCCUCAUUGUGAAGCGAUAUUCAAGCGACUUGUACACAACACAAAAAGAUGCGAGGGUGGCCCAUGGUCUGGGCUACCAGCUGUUCAUUUUCAUAAAGAGCAACGUGCUUUUCAGUUUAGGGUUUUAGUGGCAACUAGUGCCUGAUGCCAUAAAGCCCUGUAUCCCAACUGCUCCUCCUCUGAGGAGAAAGAAAUCUGUGCAAAGCACAAGGAUAUUGUUCAGAACUAAUGUGCUGAAUGGUCUCCAGUCAUGAAAAUCAUACCUAAGUUCACUGCAUCUCAAUGAAAAUGGCCCUGUUCCAUUGAGGAAAGCAAUCUACAGCCUUAUUGAAGCAGGUGAAUGUCUGAAUCAGAAUCAGAAUUUCUUACAUGCUUUUUACUUAAUGUAUUUUCCCAUUCUUUUUUCAAUAUUUUUUGGCAUAAGUACCCUAGCAAUAAAUGAUACAAAGUUACACUAGAGCAGGGGUUUGGGAACUACAGUCUAUGGGUUAAAUUCAACCAGUAACCUAUUUUCGCAGGAGCUAAGAAUGGUUUGCACAUUUUUAAAGGGUUACAAAAAAAAUAACAAAAAAGAAUAUGAGAUAAAGAUCACAUGUGACCUGCAAGACAAAAACAUUAUUAUUAUUAUUAUGGUCUUUCACAGAAAAGGUUUGCUGAAUCCUGCAUUAGAACAUUUUUUAUUUUCUUAAAUCCAAAAUUAUGAAUGAGCACUAGGAAAUAUAUCGAGUCACUUAUGAUGGAGCAUGAUAAUGUGAGAAAUAGAAUGUAUAAUAUGUAUGUGUGACUGGGUUGCCCUGCUGUACACUAGAAAAUAGAACACUGUAAACCAGCUAUGAUGAAAAAAUAAAAAUCUUUAAAAAAAUUAAGAGUGAUAAAAUAAAGAGGAACCAGAAUGUCAGUGGGUUUGCCUGAAGAUUUACAAGGAUUCUGUGAAGCAAGAGAAUCAUCUUGAAGACAGUAUAAGUUAUGGAAAUCUUAAAGACAGUAUAAGUUAUAAAGUGACCUGUCAUUAUAUAGUAUUAUAUAAAACAACUACUACAUUUAAAUCAUUGAUUAAUGCACUCAGAUCUCAUUUCUUUAUGCUGCAAACAUUUCUGAAAAACCAUUUCAAGGAUAGGCCAAAAAUGAGAAAGCCUCAAAUCAGCACUAAUUCUAAUGAGGAUAGGUACCACUUAUCCUGCCCUUCAGCAGGUUAAGUGUUUCACAUACAAUAUUUCAUUGAAUCUUCAAAACAGCCCCAUGAGAUGGACAGUACACCCCUCAUUUACAAGCUGAAGUGACUGAGGUCCAGAGAGGCUAAUGGCACAUCCAAGCCUCAAGGUUAGUAAGCUAUGGGACAAGACAAGGAUUUGAAUUCUGUCUGAGCUGAUCACAGACCCUAGCCGCGUAAUCAUUACAAUAGAAUCUUUACUCAAUAUCGUCUCCCUUAGAAGAGAGGCAGUAUACUUUCUUUUCACUUUUUUUUUUUUUAAAUACAGCACAGGGAGUUCCUCUUGUGGUUCAGCAGUAAUGAACCCUACUACAUCCAUGAGGAUGCAGGUUAGAUCCCUGGCCUCGCUCGGUAGGUUAAGGAUCUGGCAUUGCCAUGAGCUAUAGGUCGAAGAGGUGGCUCCGAUCUGGCAUUGCUGUGACCGUGGGGUAGGCCAGCCACUGUAGCUCAGGUUCGACCCCUAGCCUGGGAACUUCCAUAUGCCAUGGGUGCGGCCCUAAAAAAAAAAAAAUAAUAAAGUAAAUAAAUAAAUAAAUUUAAAAAAACAUGGCACAACCUGGCAAAUGGGAAGUCAUGACAUUGCCUGCCAGGUGAGUUUCACACUUCAAGAUCUCAGCUGCCUCCCUCCACCAUCCUUCUGAAGACACAUGUUCACCCUUUCUGAAGGUUUAAGAAUCCAUAAAAGGAUAACGUCUCUGGUCCUUUCACUGGGGUUUAAAAAGCUGGGAUGAGGGUUUCUUAUUUUCAUUUGAGGCUAUUUCAAGAGAGAACCUCUGAAUGAGGAUAAUUUUAGUUGAGUGUGUAUGCGCUGUUUCUUAUUUUUGCUCAGGCAGCACAGUCUUCCAAAAGGUGUAACUAAAAUAAGGUGCAAACCUGCGGGAUACUUCAUUGCUAGUUUUCUCUCCCACGUGUCAUCUCCCUCUCCUUUCUUCCUCCCUUCUGCUUGAGGUCUCCGCUUUUUCUACUAAAUACAGGAGUUAGAAAAUAACCUCCAGGCUGGAACAAAUGGGAGGAAAGGCUGGUUGCAUCUUUUUGUUUGAAAUAUCUAAUAGCUCCAGCCAAGACUAGGCCCUCAGUUUCUGACCUGUGCCUCUAGCUGUUAUGGGAACAGUUUUACAGGGAAGUUGUGCUAUCACAUCAAAAAAAAAACAAUUGUAAACUAGACUUAACCUUCCUCUAGAAUCCAGUUCUUUUUCCAGACAUAUUGCUGUCCACAACAUUACUUCUAGAUGCAGAGUUUCAUAAUACCUUUAUUUUCCUUUCUCUUCUGCCCCAAUUAAUCAGCAGGUCAAACUGAACCUGGCACCUACUGUUCUCCCACAUUUUCCCCUACUUCUCUUUCUAGACUUGCCAGAUCAUCAUCUGACACCUGGAUUCUGUCUGAGAGCUUUCAAUUUGACCCCUGUCUGGAAACUCUUGCCCUUCCCAUCCGAUUUCAGCACAAUAAAGUUCUCAAAAUUCAGAGGUGUAAAGUGAUAACCACCAUUUAUCUGCACACAUUUCUGCAAUGCCGGUAAAUUUCAGUGGCAAGGGCUUGUUUUUACUCCACAU
Molecule: long non-coding RNA, 3115 nt
Filed under: Sus scrofa (pig)
Lineage: Eukaryota; Metazoa; Chordata; Mammalia; Artiodactyla; Suidae
Description: lncRNA (ENSSSCG00025012264.1)
Source: RNAcentral